GCAAAACGCAAGCGCUACCUUGUAGCGAUUAGCCAAAAAUUUUACUUAGUAGGCAAAGGGCGUGAACUAAAUCGUAUCCUUUCCCUAAUAAUUGAGCAACAUUUCAGUUCAUGUGAAGGUGAGGAAUAGACAUCGACAGGAUCAGCGUUCGUCUUUUGCAAAACAGCUAGUGGUUUUUUCAACGAUUCAACCACGCCCUCCAUAUACUGAUUGCCAACAGUAAGUGUAGCUUUUUUCUUUUCGGAGUUUUUUUCCUAGAUAUUAGUUAGAAAAACAAAACUAGUUUAAAAUUUCGAUUCAUACUUUAAUGAUUUUUAAAUCUCCUAUAUGCAACGAAUCUGCUUUUCUUUCCAAUGUCGCUUGAACCUCAACGAGGUAAAGCUCAUCAUUAAUUGCUCUUAUAAGACGGAUUUCUGACAUCUAUCUACCCUUUAGUAUCCUAGAGAAAUACUUUGGUUGAUAUCAAUUUUUGAAAUAUUAGUUUGCGCUAAAUAGCAGUGUCAUCUAGGUAUAGUGGAGAUGAAAGAAAGAGUACAUAAGAAAAUGAGUUUGUAUUAAAUGCAAUAAGCUUAGAAAACAUCUAGUGUAUAACCC
This is a non-coding RNA of Schizosaccharomyces pombe (fission yeast), 594 nucleotides long. The record is from the annotation of a GenBank genome assembly. Lineage: Eukaryota; Fungi; Ascomycota; Schizosaccharomycetes; Schizosaccharomycetales; Schizosaccharomycetaceae.